GAUGAACGCUAGCUACAGGCUUAACACAUGCAAGUCGAGGGGCAGCAUUGGAGUAGCAAUACUUCAGAUGGCGACCGGCGCACGGGUGAGUAACACGUAUCCAACCUGCCGCUUACUCGGGGAUAGCCUUUCGAAAGAAAGAUUAAUACCCGAUGGUAUAAAGAGUUCGCAUGUUCUCUUUAUUAAAGAAUUUCGGUAAGCGAUGGGGAUGCGUUCCAUUAGAUUGUUGGCGGGGUAACGGCCCACCAAGUCUACGAUGGAUAGGGGUUCUGAGAGGAAGGUCCCCCACAUUGGAACUGAGACACGGUCCAAACUCCUACGGGAGGCAGCAGUGAGGAAUAUUGGUCAAUGGACGAGAGUCUGAACCAGCCAAGUAGCGUGAAGGAUGACUGCCCUAUGGGUUGUAAACUUCUUUUAUAAGGGAAUAAAGUGAGGGACGUGUCCCUUUUUGUAUGUACCUUAUGAAUAAGGAUCGGCUAACUCCGUGCCAGCAGCCGCGGUAAUACGGAGGAUCCGAGCGUUAUCCGGAUUUAUUGGGUUUAAAGGGAGCGUAGGUUGACGUAUAAGUCAGCUGUGAAAGUUUACGGCUCAACCGUGAAAUUGCAGUUGAUACUGUAUGUCUUGAGUGUACAAGAGGUGGGCGGAAUUCGUGGUGUAGCGGUGAAAUGCUUAGAUAUCACGAAGAACUCCAAUUGCGAAGGCAGCUCACUGGGGUACAACUGACACUGAGGCUCGAAAGUGUGGGUAUCAAACAGGAUUAGAUACCCUGGUAGUCCACACAGUAAACGAUGAAUACUCGCUGUUUGCGAUAUACAGUAAGCGGCCAAGCGAAAGCAUUAAGUAUUCCACCUGGGGAGUACGCCGGCAACGGUGAAACUCAA
RNAcentral lists this ribosomal RNA (881 nucleotides) under uncultured bacterium. RNAcentral's name for it is "bacterial SSU rRNA". It matches the Rfam family "Bacterial small subunit ribosomal RNA", at positions 28 to 904 of the family's 1533-position model. The record is from RNAcentral.